AGUAAAAUAAAUCUAAAGAAUUCACUAUCAAAUUUGUAUUAGAAAGCUGAAAAAUAUGCUCAAUUUUAAAAUAAAAAUUUUAGUUAUGAAGAUAAAUAAUAUUUUAAAUAUUUAUAUGAGAGAUUUUAUAAUGUUCAUGAUGAUCUUGAUGCCCAGCAUCGGCAACAAUAGUGGGACUAUCAUUUAUUGGUUGAAAGGUAUAAAAAACUAACGAAUGACUAUAGUGGACUCAGAGGUAGAUAGAAAGAUAUA
This 252-nucleotide long non-coding RNA is filed under the name Elaeis guineensis (African oil palm). RNAcentral describes it as "long non-coding RNA (EGUI_LNC012439)". Lineage: Eukaryota; Viridiplantae; Streptophyta; Magnoliopsida; Arecales; Arecaceae. The record is from RNAcentral.